RNAcentral lists this ribosomal RNA (219 nucleotides) under Neisseria meningitidis. RNAcentral describes it as "partial 23S ribosomal RNA". It matches the Rfam family "Bacterial large subunit ribosomal RNA", at positions 951 to 1166 of the family's 2925-position model. The record is from RNAcentral. Lineage: Bacteria; Pseudomonadati; Pseudomonadota; Betaproteobacteria; Neisseriales; Neisseriaceae.
AAACUAAGAAUACCAUCAAGUGGUUCCUCGGGAGACAGACAGCGGGUGCUAACGUCCGUUGUCAAGAGGGAAAACAACCCAGACCGCCAGCUAAGGUCCCAAAUGAUAGAUUAAGUGGUAAAACGAAGUGGGAAGGCCCAGACAGCCAGGAUGUUGGCUUAGAAGCAGCCAUCAUUUAAAGAAAGCGUAAUAGCUCACUGGUCGAGUCGUCCUGCGCGG